ACUCCUACGGGAGGCAGCAGUGGGGAAUAUUGCACAAUGGGGGAAACCCUGAUGCAGCCAUGCCGCGUGUGUGAAGAAGGCCUUCGGGUUGUAAAGCACUUUCAGUAGGGAGGAAGGUAGUGUAGUUAACACCUGCACUAUUUGACGUUACCUACAGAAGAAGCACCGGCUAACUCCGUGCCAGCAGCCGCGGUAAUACGGAGGGUGCGAGCGUUAUCCGGAUUUAUUGGGUUUAAAGGGUCCGUAGGCGGAUUAAUAAGUCAGUGGUGAAAUCCCAUCGCUUAACGAUGGAACUGCCAUUGAUACUGUUAGUCUUGAAUGAGGGUGCAGUGGUUGGAAUGUGUAGUGUAGCGGUGAAAUGCAUAGAUAUUACACAGAACACCGAUUGCGAAGGCAGAUCACUAACCCUAAAUUGACGCUGAGGGACGAAAGCGUGGGGAGCAAACAGGAUUAGAUACCCUGGUAGACUGUC
RNAcentral lists this ribosomal RNA (472 nucleotides) under uncultured bacterium. RNAcentral describes it as "bacterial SSU rRNA". It matches the Rfam family "Bacterial small subunit ribosomal RNA", at positions 335 to 799 of the family's 1533-position model. The record is from RNAcentral.